GAUGAACGCUGGCGGCGUGCCUAAUACAUGCAAGUCGAGCGAACGGACGCUAAGCUUGCUUUUUUGAUGUUAGCGGAGGACGGGUGAAUAACACGUGUAUAACCUACCUAUAAGACUGGUAUAACUUCGAGAAACGGGAUCUUAUACCGUAUAAUAUUCUGAACCGCAUGGUUCAAAAGUGAAAUACGGUCUUUCUGUCACUUAUAGAUGGAUCCGCGCUGCAUUAGCUAGUUGGUAAGGUAACGGCUUAUCAAGGCAACUAUGCAUAGACGACGUGCGGGGGUGGUCGGCCACACUGGAGCUGGGACACGGUCAAGAGUCCUAAGGGAGGCAGCAGUAGGGAAUCUUACGCAAUGGGCGGAAGCAUGACGGAACAGGGCCGAGUGUGAGGCGACGGUGUUCGGAUCGUAAAGAUCUGUUAUUAGGGAUGAACAUAUGUGUAAGGAAAUGAGGACAUCUUGACGGUAACUAAUAAGAAAGCCACGGCUAACUACGUG
RNAcentral lists this ribosomal RNA (497 nucleotides) under uncultured bacterium. RNAcentral describes it as "partial 16S ribosomal RNA". It matches the Rfam family "Bacterial small subunit ribosomal RNA", at positions 28 to 507 of the family's 1533-position model. The record is from RNAcentral.